AAAAGUCAAUACUGGCAAUUUAUUUCCUAACCGGCGGCCACAGGCUCCACCACCACAAUCGUCACACCCUACUCACUGUAGCCACCUCCUGCACACGGCGUUUCUCUAUGCAAGCCCUUUCUAUUCCAAGUUAAGGAAUCAUAAAUCAGCUUUUGAAGGCUAAAGGAAGCUCUUGUGACUAUUGGAGUUUGGAAUUAAAUGGCGAGUGAGAGCAAAGCUGUGGCUGAUACAUUGUUUCCCCUAAUUCCUGUAUCCCAGAAUGCCAGUGGCUUUCAUUUGAAGAUAUCUGAGAGCUACCCUCAGUGGAAAGAUCAGAUCACAUUUAGAGGAUUGAUUGUGAGUGCUCUACUGGGGACUGUGUUCUGCAUCUUGGUGCAUAGGCUCAGUCUAGCAACUGGGAUGGUUCCUGCUUUGAAUAUAGCUGCUGCAUUGCUUGGUUUUUCCAUUAUCAAGAUGUGGACUGUUUUUCUAACAAAGUUUGGUUUUUCUAGUGUCCCCUUCACUAGACAAGAGAAUACUGUUAUCCAAACUUGUAUUGUUGCUUGCUAUGGCCUUGCUACUAGUGGUGGAUUUGGCACAUAUUUGCUUGCCAUGGAUGAGAGAAUAUAUCAACUUAUAGGUGUUGAUUACUCUGGCAAUCAGCCAGAGGAUGUUAGGAAUCCAGGCCUGGGAUGGAUGAUCGGUUUCUUGUUUGUUGUAAGUUUUCUUGGGAUUUUUAGUCUUGUUGCGCUACGCAAGGUUAUGAUCAUAGAUUUUAAGCUUACUUAUCCCAGUGGAACUGCUACAGCAAUGUUGAUCAAUAGCUUUCACACAGAUGCAGGAUCAGAACUUGCAGAGAAACAAGUGAGUUUUCUGGGCAGAUAUUUGACUUUGAGUUUCAGUUGGAGCUGCUUCAAGUGGUUCUUCAGUGGUGUUGAGGAUUCAUGUGGAUUUAAUCAUUUUCCAAGCUUUGGCCUGACACUUUUUGAUCAUUCAUUCUAUUUUGACUUCAGCCCUAGUUUUGUUGGAUGUGGUCUUAUCUGUCCUCACAGAGUAAACUGCUCUAUUCUUCUAGGGGCAAUCAUAUUUCAGGGAUUUCUGCUACCAUGCAUUUCCAAAUAUUCUGGGGAUUGGUAUCCUGCUUACCUUCACAGUGGUGAUCUUAAAGGUCUUGGUGGAUAUAAGGUUCUCAUGUCAAUUUCACUUAUUCUUGGCGAUGGCCUUUACAAUUUGAUCAAG
RNAcentral lists this unclassified non-coding RNA (1218 nucleotides) under Hevea brasiliensis (rubber tree). Lineage: Eukaryota; Viridiplantae; Streptophyta; Magnoliopsida; Malpighiales; Euphorbiaceae. The record is from RNAcentral.